GGAAGCUACCUUGAGGAAGGGGACAGCAGGUGGAAACGACUGCUAAUACCCUAUGAGCCCUAUGGGGGAAAGAUUUAUCGCCAUGAGAUGUGCCCGCGUUAGAUUAGCUAGUUGGAAAGGUAAUGGCUUACCAAGGUGACGAUCUAUAGCUGGUCUGAGAGGAUGAUCAGCCACACUGGGACUGAGACACGGGCCAGACUCCUACGGGAGGCAGAAGUGGGGAAUAUUGGACAAUGGGGGCAACCCUGAUCCAGCCAUGCCGCGUGUGUGAUGACGGCCUUAGGGUUGCAAAGGACUUUCAACAGUGAAGAUAAUGACAUUAACUGCAGAAGAAGCCCCGGGUAACUUCGUGCCAGCAGCCGCGGUAAUACGAAGGGGGCUAGCGUUGUUCGGAAUCACUGGGCGUAAAGAGUACGUAGGCGGACUGAUAAGUUAGGGGUGAAAUCCCAAGGUUCAACCUUGGAACUGCCUUUGAUACUGUCAGUCUUGAGAUCGAGAGAGGUGAGUGGAACUCCGAGCGGAGAGGUGAAAUUCGUAGAUAUUCGGAAGAACACCAGGGGGGAAGGCGGUUCACUGGCUCGAUACUGACGCUGAUGUACGAAAGCGUGGGGAGCAAACAGGAUUACAUACCCUGGUAGUCCACGCCGUAAACGAUGAAUGCUAGUUGUCACGUAGCUUGCUAUUUGGUGACGCAGCUAACGCAUUAAGCAUUCCGCCUGGGGAGUACGGUCGCAAGAUUAAAACUCAAAGGAAUUGACGGGGGCCCGCACCAGCGGNGGAGCAUGUGGUUUAAUUCGAAGCAACGCGCAGAACCUUACCAGCCCUUGACAUUUGACGCUACAACCGGAGAC
RNAcentral lists this ribosomal RNA (851 nucleotides) under Pseudovibrio sp. TSASRA067. Its description in RNAcentral is "bacterial SSU rRNA". It matches the Rfam family "Bacterial small subunit ribosomal RNA", at positions 121 to 1007 of the family's 1533-position model. The record is from RNAcentral. Lineage: Bacteria; Pseudomonadati; Pseudomonadota; Alphaproteobacteria; Hyphomicrobiales; Stappiaceae.